GACGAACGCUGGCGGCGUGCUUAACACAUGCAAGUCGAACGGAAAGGCCCCUUUGGGGGUACUCGAGUGGCGAACGGGUGAGUAACACGUGAGUAACCUGCCCUUGACUUCGGGAUAACUUCAGGAAACUGGGGCUAAUACCGGCUAGGAAUCAUUGCUGCUUGGUGGGGGUUGGAAAGCUUCGGCGGUUUUGGGUGGUCUGGCGGCUUAUCAGCUUGUUGGUGGGGGAGUGGCUUACCAAGGCUUUGACGGGUAGCCGGCCUGAGAGGGGGACCGGCCACAUUGGGACUGAGAUACGGCCCAGACGCCUACGGGAGGCAGUAGUGGGGAAUAUUGCACAAUGGGCGGGAGCCUGAUGCAGCAACGCCGCGUGCGGGAUGACGGCCUUCGGGUUGUAAACCGCUUUCAGCAGGGGCGAAGCUUGUGGUGACGGUACCUGCAGAAGAAGCACCGGCUAACUACGUG
This 465-nucleotide ribosomal RNA is filed under the name uncultured bacterium. RNAcentral's name for it is "partial 16S ribosomal RNA". It matches the Rfam family "Bacterial small subunit ribosomal RNA", at positions 28 to 507 of the family's 1533-position model. The record is from RNAcentral.